UACGUAGGGUCCGAGCGUUGUCCGGAAUUAUUGGGCGUAAAGGGCUCGUAGGCGGUUUGUCGCGUCGGGAGUGAAAACACGGGGCUUAACCCCGUGCCUGCUUCCGAUACGGGCAGACUAGAGGUAUGCAGGGGAGAACGGAAUUCCUGGUGUAGCGGUGAAAUGCGCAGAUAUCAGGAGGAACACCAGUGGCGAAGGCGACUACCUGGCCUGUUCUUGACGCUGAGGCGCGAAAGCUAGGGUAGCAAACGGG
RNAcentral lists this ribosomal RNA (253 nucleotides) under uncultured bacterium. RNAcentral describes it as "partial 16S ribosomal RNA". It matches the Rfam family "Bacterial small subunit ribosomal RNA", at positions 524 to 776 of the family's 1533-position model. The record is from RNAcentral.